This 502-nucleotide ribosomal RNA is filed under the name uncultured bacterium. RNAcentral describes it as "partial 16S ribosomal RNA". It matches the Rfam family "Bacterial small subunit ribosomal RNA", at positions 899 to 1397 of the family's 1533-position model. The record is from RNAcentral.
ACUCAAAUGAAUAGACGGGGACCCGCACAAGCGGUGGAACAUGUGGUUUAAUUCGAGGCAACGCGAAGAACCUUACCAGGGCUUGACAUGCUCUCUAUGGAUUCCUGAAAGGGAGUCCUUCACCUCGGGUGGGAGAUGCACAGGUGCUGCAUGGCUGUCGUCAGCUCGUGUCGUGAGAUGUUGGGUUAAGUCCCGCAACGAGCGCAACCCUCAUCCUCUGUUGCUAACAGGUAAUGCUGAGAACUCUGAGGAAACUGCCGGUGAUAAGCCGGAGGAAGGUGGGGAUGACGUCAAGUCCUCAUGGCCCUUACGCCCUGGGCUACACACGUGUUACAAUGGCAGUGACAAUCGGAUGCUACCUCGCGAGAGGAUGCCAACCUGAAAAAGCUGCCUCAGUUCGGAUUGUACUCUGCAACUCGAGUACAUGAAGUCGGAAUCGCUAGUAAUCGCUGAUCAGCACGCAGCGGUGAAUACGUUCCCGGGUCUUGCACACACCGCCCGU